AUGCCGACGCCAGAGCCAGACCACGCCUUCGCAGCUGGCAUCCUCCUCCUCGCCGUCUUGGUUGUUGUGGGCGCCGGCCAUGCUGCAACGGAGUCCGAGGCUGAUGCGCUCCUGGCCUGGAAGGCCAGCCUCGACGAGCCAACCCCCACCACUAUGAGCUCCUGGAACAAGACCGCGCCAGUCUGCUCCUGGCUCGGCGUGUCAUGCAAUGCCGCUGGCCUCGUCGAAUCGCUCAGGCUCCGGGGGCUAGACCUUGGCGGAACGCUCAACGAGCUCAACGCCACAGCACUUCCGGCACUCACCACGCUCGACCUCAAUGGGAACAACUUCGUCGGCGCCAUCCCGGCAAGCCUUUCAAGGCUGCGCUCCCUCGCUGAGCUCGACCUCGGCAGCAACGGCUUCAAUGGCUCCAUCCCGCCGCAGCUGGGCGGCCUCUCUAGCCUCGUUGGCCUGCGUCUUUACAACAAUAACCUCGUCGGAGACAUCCCGCACCAGCUCACCAUGCUCCCUAGGAUCGUGCAUUUCGACCUGGGCGCCAACUUCCUCACCAACCCGAAGGACUACCUCAGGUUCUCACCGAUGCCCACCGUCACCUUCAUGUCACUCUACCUCAACUACCUCACCGGCAGCUUCCCGGAGUUUAUCCUCGAGAGCAGUGACGUCACCUACCUCGACCUGUCGCAGAACAAUGUCUCCGGACCGAUACCGUACUCACUGCCAGAGAAGCUUCCCAACCUCAAGUACCUCAACUUGUCCGUCAAUGCCUUCUCCGGCCAGAUACCGGCGUCUCUGUCCAAGCUGGGGAAUCUCCAGGACCUGCGGAUUGUAGCCAAUAACCUGACAGGUGGCAUCCCUGAUUUCCUUGGGUCCAUGUCCCAGCUGAGAGUUCUCGAACUUGGCAGCAACCUACUUGGCGGGGCGAUCCCAUCGGUUCUUGGCCAGCUCCAAAUGCUGCAACGCCUUGACCUGAAGAGCAACGGGUUGGUUUCCACCAUUCCACCACAACUAGGCAACCUUGGCAAUCUCAGUUUCAUGGACCUCUCCAUGAACCAGCUCACCGGUGUCAUGCCACCCGCGUUUGCCGGGAUGCACAAAAUGCGGGAGUUUGGCAUGUCGUCAAACAAACUCACUGGUCAGAUUCCGCCAUCUCUGUUCACGAGUUGGCCGGAGCUCAUAGUGUUCACAGCGUUUGGAAACUCGUUCACUGGGAAGAUCCCAUCGGAGCUCGGCAAGGCAACCAAGCUAGAUAUCUUGUAUCUCUUCAGCAACAACCUAACCGGCUCUAUCCCAGUAGAGCUUGGCGAGUUGGUGAGCCUGAGUCAGCUGGACUUGUCCGUGAACUGGCUCACCGGUCCGAUUCCCAGCUCGUUGGGUAAACUGACACGGCUCAGGAGGCUGGCCCUCUUCUUCAACCUGCUCACCGGAACGAUCCCACCAGAGAUCGGCAACAUGACUGCGUUGGAAGUCUUGGACGUCAACACCAACCAUUUGGAAGGCGAGCUGCCCACCACCAUCACAUCACUCAGGAAUCUCCAAUACCUCGCCCUGUUCGACAACAACUUCAGCGGCCCUGUACCGCCAGACCUUGGGAAGGGGCUGAGCUUGACAGACGCGAGCUUUGCGAACAACAGCUUCUCUGGUGAACUACCACAAAUGUUGUGUGACGGCCUUAUGCUACAGAGCUUCACAGCAAACCACAACAACUUCAGCGGCCAGCUGCCGCCGUGCCUCAAGAACUGCACAGUCCUAGUCCGUGUGAGAUUGGACCAGAACCAAUUCACCGGCGACAUCUCCGAGGUGUUCGGUGUCCAUCCCAGCUUGGACUUCUUGGAUGUCUCGGGGAAUCAGCUGACAGGCCAGCUGUCCCAUGAUUGGUCACAGUGCACCUAUCUAACAAUUCUAUCCAUUAACAACAAUCACCUCUCUGGAAACAUCCCUGCAGCCUUGUGCGGACUGACCUCCCUCCAGUUACUGGAUCUAUCAAAUAACCACUUCAUUGGUGAGCUCCCAAGUUGCUGGUGGAAACUAAAAGCACUGGUAUUUAUGGAUGUGUCCAGCAAUAUAUUUUGGGGUAAAUUUCCUGCCUCAACGAGCUUGGACGAAUUCCCCCUCCAAUCACUUCAUCUUGGUAACAAUAGUUUUUCUGGGGAUUUCCCAUCUGUCAUUGAGACCUGUUGUAGAAAGCUCAUCACACUAGAUCUUGGGAACAACAUGUUCUUCGGUUCUAUUCCUACUUGGAUUGGAGCAAGUGUCCCUCUUCUAAGAGUUCUGAGCCUCCCAUCCAACAGUUUCAGUGGUGUCGUUCCGUCUGAGAUAUCCCAACUGUCUAAUCUGCAAGUACUUGACAUGUCCAACAAUAACUUUACUGGAUUCAUCCCAGGUACAUUCCGCAACUUAUUGUCCAUGAUGAAACAAAUGUCCCCUUGGACAGUAGAAUCUUCUGAAAGGCAUGAUGUUGUCCAACUGAGCCGGAUUUCCAUAUUUUCUCGGAGGACCGAGCCCCCCAAUAACCGGUCACCACUGAAUGAGUACCGAGACAGAGUUAAUAUUUUCUGGAAGGGCCGCGAGCAAACUUUUCAAAAAACAAUCGAGCUAAUGACAGGCAUCGAUUUAUCAAGCAAUCUACUUGCCGGGGAUAUUCCAGAGGAGCUAACAUACCUUCAAGGUCUCCGAUUCUUGAACUUAUCCAGAAAUCAUCUAUCAGGCAAUAUUCCAGCAAGCAUUGGCAGUUUAGAGCUCCUGGAGUUCCUUGACCUCUCAUGGAAUGAACUAUCAGGUGCUAUCCCUCCCAGCAUCUCAAAUUUGCCCUACCUCGGCAUGUUAAAUCUCUCCAACAACCACUUAACGGGCACCAUACCCACCGGGAGUCAGCUACAGACACUUGUAGACCCAUCGAUUUAUGGCAACAAUCUGGGGCUUUGUGGCUUCCCGUUGAGCACACAUUGUUUGGAUGAAAGAAGUCAAGACCACAGACGACCUGGAAGUGAUGUGGGAUUGUGUUACUCUGUAAUUCUCGGUGUUGUUUUUGGCUUUUGGCUUUGGUUUGGAGCUCUGUUUUUCCUUGAGCCAUGGAGAGUUUCCUUCUCCCAUUUUCUUGAUAAGUUGUGCAGUAAGUAA
Molecule: ribosomal RNA, 3117 nt
Filed under: Triticum aestivum (bread wheat)
Lineage: Eukaryota; Viridiplantae; Streptophyta; Magnoliopsida; Poales; Poaceae
Description: partial small subunit ribosomal RNA
Source: RNAcentral